GCGAAAACCUUACAAUGCGAGCAAUCGUGAUAAGGGAACUCCGAGUGCCUGUAAAAUAAGGCCGUCCGCCAGUUUAAAUAACUGGUGAAGAAAGGGCCGGGCAAGACCGGUGCCAGCCGCCGCGGUAAUACCGGCGGCUAGAGUGGUGGCAACUAUUACUGGGCUUAAAGCGUUCGUAGCUGGUCUGUUAAGUCUCUGGGGAAAUCUUCCGGCUUAACCGGAAGGCGUCUCAGGGAUACUGGCAGACUAGGGACCGGAAGAGGUGAGGGGUACUCCAGGGGUAGGAGUGAAAUCCUGUAAUCCGUGGGGGACCACCUGUGGGGAAGGCGUCUCACCAGGUCGGCGCCGACAGUGAGGUACGAAGGCUGGGGGAGCGGGCC
Molecule: ribosomal RNA, 380 nt
Filed under: uncultured prokaryote
Description: bacterial SSU rRNA
Rfam family: Archaeal small subunit ribosomal RNA
Source: RNAcentral